Molecule: ribosomal RNA, 305 nt
Filed under: Chitinophaga sp. Ak27
Lineage: Bacteria; Pseudomonadati; Bacteroidota; Chitinophagia; Chitinophagales; Chitinophagaceae
Description: partial 23S ribosomal RNA
Rfam family: Bacterial large subunit ribosomal RNA
Source: RNAcentral
ACAGCCAGGAUGUUGGCUUGGAAGCAGCCAUUCAUUUAAAGAGUGCGUAACAGCUCACUGGUCGAGGGUUUGGGCACGGAAAAUAAUCGGGCAUCAAACAUAUAACCGAAGCUUUAGGCCUAGUAUGUAAAUACUAGACGGUAGGGGAGCAUUCUAAACUGCAUCGAAGGUGUGUUGCGAGACAUGCUGGAGCGUUUAGAAAAGAAAAUGUAGGCAUAAGUAACGAUAAAUAAGAUGAAAAAUCUUAUCGCCGUAAGACUAAGGGUUCCUGAUCAACGCUAAUCGGAUCAGGGUUAGUCGGGUCC